Molecule: ribosomal RNA, 255 nt
Filed under: Mycobacterium sp. ITM-2017-0098
Lineage: Bacteria; Bacillati; Actinomycetota; Actinomycetes; Mycobacteriales; Mycobacteriaceae
Description: partial 16S ribosomal RNA
Rfam family: Bacterial small subunit ribosomal RNA
Source: RNAcentral
GCCUGGGGAGUACGGCCGCAAGGCUAAAACUCAAAGAAAUUGACGGGGGCCCGCACAAGCGGCGGAGCAUGUGGAUUAAUUCGAUGCAACGCGAAGAACCUUACCUGGGUUUGACAUGCACAGGACGUGCCUAGAGAUAGGUAUUCCCUUGUGGCCUGUGUGCAGGUGGUGCAUGGCUGUCGUCAGCUCGUGUCGUGAGAUGUUGGGUUAAGUCCCGCAACGAGCGCAACCCUUAUCUUAUGUUGCCAGCGCGUA